This is a non-coding RNA of Dermacentor albipictus, 499 nucleotides long. The record is from RefSeq and is a predicted model, not a curated record. Lineage: Eukaryota; Metazoa; Arthropoda; Arachnida; Ixodida; Ixodidae.
UAUAAAUGUUUUGCUGCCUAACGCUUCGCUGCUCGAAAGAAAUCUACGGUCCAAAGCUGCCAUGACUGCAAUCAAAGACUUUGCAAUUGUUUUGCUGAUCGUCUCUGCUCUGUUCAUGAUUCCCGGCUCGUCCGCAGGAAAUUCGUACCCUAGAGCAAGCUCUCCAUUUUUGGUUUCGAUGCGCUAACGAACGAGCCUUGUUGACCCUUGUAAUGAGCGGCUUCGCUUUUUUGACUUGGAAAGUGGAUCCAGCCUGGUCGAUGGCUGCGUUUCGCCUACAAAAUAAGUGACAAAUCUGAGCUCAAGCAACAUUAGGAAGAAGCGACAUUGUAUGCGGGUGAAUCAGCCUAUGGAACUGUCUAAGCCAGCUCCCUGAAUCAUGAAGUGACCAAUGUGUAAUAACACAGUCACAAAAGAAAUCUCCAGAAGGUGCUUUAGAAACAUUUUUCUUCUGUACUCGGGGUAUUUAUUUGAUUUAAUAAAUAUGCUUUGAAACAUU